This 466-nucleotide ribosomal RNA is filed under the name uncultured bacterium. Its description in RNAcentral is "partial 16S ribosomal RNA". It matches the Rfam family "Bacterial small subunit ribosomal RNA", at positions 28 to 507 of the family's 1533-position model. The record is from RNAcentral.
GACGAACGCUGGCGGCGCGCCUAACACAUGCAAGUCGAACGAGCGAGAGAGAGCUUGCUUUCUCGAGCGAGUGGCGAACGGGUGAGUAACGCGUGAGGAACCUGCCUCAAAGAGGGGGACAACAGUUGGAAACAACUGCUAAUACCGCAUAAGCCCACGACCCGGCAUCGGGUAGAGGGAAAAGGAGCAAUCCGCUUUGAGAUGGCCUCGCGUCCGAUUAGCUAGUUGGUGAGGUAACGGCCCACCAAGGCGACGAUCGGUAGCCGGACUGAGAGGUUGAACGGCCACAUUGGGACUGAGACACGGCCCAGACUCCUACGGGAGGCAGCAGUGGGGAAUAUUGCACAAUGGGGGAAACCCUGAUGCAGCGACGCCGCGUGGAGGAAGAAGGUCUUCGGAUUGUAAACUCCUGUUGUUGAGGAAGAUAAUGACGGUACUCAACAAGGAAGUGACGGCUAACUACGUG